CUUAAGUUGGCUCCCUUUACUAGAUAUCUUUAUUUUUAUCGCUACAAACAUGCUACGGACAAACGACGAACAGACAAUUAAAAAAAAAUAAUCGAAAAUCAAAAAAAGAGGGGCCAAAUUCAGUGAGCCAUUGUUGAGUCAUGACGUCAUGAUAAACUUAAUCAAUGUGUAAUAGACAAUAUUUUCUAAAUGAAAACAGAUUGCACACAAGAAUGAUCGAAUGUUAGCGAUUUUUUUAAUUAUCGAUAUUAUGUUUUGAAAUCAUCGAUUAACAUGCCCAAUCGAAAUAGUCAAUCCGCAAAUUAGCAACAAUCAAACUUAUUUGAUAACGAAUGUGAUUGUUGUACGUUUACGCUUGUAACAAUUGUAUAUUACCUACGGUGUUACAUGGUAAUUAGGUGCAGUGAAAGUGAAAUUAAUUAAAAAUAAUGAACUUUUAAUAUCAAACAUUAUUGUUUUCGGUUCAAUUGAGAAGAUGGCUACCGUAUUUGAUAGCCCGUUUAUACGACAACGUUUACAUCGACUUCGACAUCGUGAUUAUGAUUUCGACGAAGACCAGAGAUUUGGAAGAUGUGAUUGCACUAGCUAUUCCUAUUUCGUACUUUCCAUGGUUUUGUUUUCCGUGGGUACAGUAAUAACUGUAUUAGCUUUGGGUGACGGUGAUGGAUACAUUCUCAACAAUUUGGGACACAUGUGGCUUGUAGGUCCGAUUUUUAUAUGUUCGGGAAUGAUGGUUGCUGUUAAAAGUAUGUUGUAUUUACGAAGAAAAAGUGUUAUUCAAAUGCUUUUACAUCAGAGAGCUAUUAUACGGGAUAUGGCUGCAGUCCAGGCUGAACAGGCAUAUAGUGGACAUAUGCCUCGAACAGCUUCAAGUGUUACUCUUCCCCCUUCUUAUGAUGCUCUGAUUUCUGGUGCUGCCACAAGCAAACCACAGCCAUCUAGCUCCGAGCCUCCACCUCCAACAUAUGAUGAAGCUAUGUAUCUUAUAGGUGAUGAGAAAAUGAGAAUCGAAGGUAAAAAUGACGAAAAUCCCAAACAGGAAACAAGUAAUCAGUCUGAUUCAGAUAGUAAACCAUGAAAGGAAAAUCAAAAGGGAUAUACUGAAUUAGUUCUGUAAGGAAAACAUAACUCUUCCUUUUGUACUUAUUAAUAUUAGAUGCUUAGUUACUUUGGUAAAGUAUUCUCGAAUGUGCCUAAAAUAUAAAUUUCUUAGUUAUUAUAUUGUAUGUAAAAGGUUACAUUUACUUAAUACCCUUAAGAUAUGUAUACUUUUAAACUUGUAAAAAAAUUAUACUAACUAGCAUUUGCUUGGAACUGAAUACCACAAAGCUAUUAUAUACUUGUUUUUAUUUAUUUAUUAGCUGUCAGAGAAAAGGUAGAAAUAUAUAAAUAACAAAUAAUAUUAUAUAUUAUUGUGCCUGUAUGAUGCACAUUGAUUUUAAUUUAACAUCUGUACAUGACAGAUUUUUGAAGCAGAUUGCUAUGACAUAAUGUUGACUUAAAUAAUGUUAUUAAUAGAUAAUAUAAAGCAUUUCCGCAUUUUAAUGUUAUAUAAAUGUUAAAAAAACCUGUUUAUUUGAUGGCUAAAAUGUUGCUAUCAAAAAUUAUCAAAAUGGUAAAUUGAUUUAUUCAUCAAAUAUGAUGUCAAUUCAGCCUGUAAUAUUUCGAUCAGAAGUCAAGAUAGCAUGGACCACUCCCAGUGUUAUAUAAGAUCAUAGUUGUCACUCAAUUAUAUAUAUAACAUAGUGACUGCCAAUUACAAGAUAACUCAUAGGUUGUUUACCUGCCCAGGUCACCAGCUCACUAUGCUACCUUGCUGCUCGUUUAGAGAUCAAUUUUAUACAGCUAUGACAAAGGUCAUAGAAUAAUAGUGUAGAUAUAAAUAGUUGGACUCUGGGAGGAGAAGAAAAAUCAGGGUUGGCCUAAAUGAACAGAAAAUUUAUUAAGACAUGAACAAAAUAUGUACUUGAUUAAUAUGUACUAUAAUUAACGUUUUUAAUAAUAUAAUAUGAUUAAAUUAAUUAAAUUAGCUUCUGGGACCGGAAUCCUUGAAAGUGCUGUGGCAGUCAACUUGUUAAACUAGUUUUGUAAUAAUGAAAACUAUUGCAUUUAAUGACUUUUUGAAUGAAUGAUUUUAUUUUGUCAAAAAUUAAAUUAUGUAUAUCGGCGCAACUCUGCUAUUUAGAUAACUAAGAUGGUUGGAGUUAACCGUUUCGUCAAUGUUAAAAUUGUUGGAUAACUGUUAAGUCCAAUGCAUGUCAACAAUUGUGUAAGACGGUAUUCAGGAAAAACUAUCUUAAAUUUAACUAAACCACGUUUUAUUAUAAAUACGAGUUACUUUUGUUGCACAACACAUUCCGGAUCAAGCACUCGAACGGAGCGGACCUCUGUGUGCUUAGUGCGAUUUUUUUAACGUUCUCGAUAGCGUAAAAGUUAGCUCAUAUUUGUAUGGAAUGGGAUCGUUUGCCUAUGUUUGCUGUUAGGGGCGCUGUUCCAACUGCAUACAAAAUUGGGUUACCUUUUACGCUAUCGAGAACGUUAAAAAACUCGCACUAAGUACACUGAUGGCGUCAGUCUCUCCGUCAUGUAUUAUGUAUUUCAUCGUCAUGUAUUUAUGAAUCCAAUCUUUGUUUGAAACUAUUAUUUUCCAAUUAGUCUAAAUAUCAGAUUUUCAAUUGUAUUAAGUAAUAACAGUUAACAAUUGUAAUUAACUACAUACUUCAUUGGAAACUGAAUUGCAGUCUGUAACAAUUAUUAAAAUUAUUUUUACGGCUAGUUGCACUUAACAUGAGAUUUUUAUGGUCACAAACUACAAAUGAGGUUACGAAUCGCCUGGAUUCCUAAAAUAUUAGGUUUCUAGCGAAAUUGCUAUUUAGAAUACAGAAAAUUAGUGAUUUUUCGAUAGAUUUUUUUUAUUACUCGAAAUAUGCACCCAUGGCAUUGGUGUAUCUGUGCCUGUGAUUCUUCAACUUUUUUUGCUGAAUGAAAGGAUUGCUGGUGGCCCGGCGGCCGCUCCAAUUUCACCAGGACAGGUGGGCGAGCAAAGGCUCAGCCAGGAGGGGUGGGAUUUGCUAACAGCUGCCCGAGUGCCGCCAAAGGAGACUUGUUAACUCAUGGGUAGCUGCUUCGCGAAUGAAUCUACUACCGGAUCGGAAUCGUGACUCACUGAUCCGCCGUGUAGCUCAGCGGGCUGAUGCAUGGGUUCGGUUGCACUAGUACGGUUACCGGGGUCCCUAAGUCUGCUUCUAGUGUUAGAGCUGAAGGCUUCUAGUGUUAGAGCUGAAGGCGUCUAGUGCAAGGGCUAUUGGAUCUGAUGGAUCCGUAAGGAUGUGUCUAGAGCGUCGACUGGCUCCUGCAUGAUCAGAAUUCGAGGAAUAGUCAGCGACCGCAACGAUAAGGCUAUUAUCAUGACGCAUAGCCUUAUCGACGUAACGUUCCGACGCUGACUUUGUGUUUUCGGAUCUAUUCGAAGCUCAGGUCGUGUAAGUCGACGUUCCUCACGAACCACGUUGCUCCGACGGCUAACCUGCAAAAACGAGACUGUAGAGAUUGGAGGGUGUCUAUGUGUGUGUUUGGCCACUUGAGCGAUCGCCACACUCGCGCAAGUAAUGACAGGCCUUAUGCAAGUUUUGUAAAGUGUCACCUUGUUCUGAAGAGACAUUUUGUUCUUGUUCAUUUUGCACUUGUGUAGUAAACGGUUGCCGUCGGUGAAUAAGGCUAACUGUGUCGGCGGCGACCGAGGAAUUUCGUUAAUUUGCGCGGAAUCCCAAUUGUUCGUCGAUGAGAAUGCCCUUGGACAAACUCUUCAAAUAUAUUUUGUACUGCGUCUCGGGUAUUACAUUUUUUCCCUGAGAAGAAGCUAUCCAAACUUUGGAAAAAGUAGAAGUCUUUCGGCGUGAGAUGGUUGGUGACGCAAAACUUCCAACCCUAGCACUUGUAGCUUAGAAACUGUCUGUUGUGCUGCAUGACGUCAAUCGUUGUCGUUUAGGAGUAGCGGGGAUGAGCGAUUAGCCAUGGCUAGCCGGAUCCAUCAUUGUGUCCAGUUUCUCCCAGUACACGUUCUGUUAUACACCAGUACACCAGUAAUGCUGGUGUCGUUUGGUAAGAAGCUGUCAUGAAUUAUACCAAACAUGAUCCACGACUUUUUAGGGAUAAGUUUCCGAUUGGGGCAUUCCCUAGAUGCUGAAAAAAAAUGAAGACCGCUUGCGAUUGUCAAAAAGAAAACAUUUUUCGCCCUCAAUGACAAUGCCGUUCAAAAUGGCUUUGUUACUGUGAUUGUCGCGCUGGCGAUCGUUCAUUUUGUGCUAUUCCCACUUUUAUUUUUAUUUUGCCUUGCCAAUUUGACGCAAUUUCACUAAAAUUGUUUUGAUGCCAACGUUGAAAGCUUCUGAAGGUUGCAGUGUUCACACCGUACACAUUAUUUAUGUUGCGAUCGUUUGUGCGGUAUUGCUACCACGACGAUGCUCGUAUUCCAUAAUAACUAAUAAACAACUAGUUGAAUUUGAACAUACAAUUCCAUAUUUUUAAUGCAAAUUUAAUUUUAAAUCAGAAUUUAUUGCCAGCCGUAUGUAUAUAAAUUACGUUUCAAAUGACUAGUAUUGUAAAACGGAAACUUCAUAGGUAAAGACCUAUUAUAUAAAAUAACCGCAUGAUUAAGCCGUAAAAAUAUUUUUAAUGGUAUGUAUGAACGACUUGCAAAAUACCGUAAUGAAUAGUAGUAGUAAUAGUUCUAAACAUUACUCAUGCACUUUACUUCCAGUUUAUAUUUUUGUGAUCAAAUUUUAAUAGUGUUCAGUUAUUAAACCCGUAUUAUAAUAUUGUCACAAUAAAUUGCAAUUAAUGUUAUUUAUAUUGAAUAAGAAAAAAUAAGUACUUUGGUAAUUUGUCGUCGUCUAUUACUUUUUUGAAAACAUAAUAAUACAGAUACGUGUUCAAUUUUAUGGUGCUAAAACACUUACAGCUUAGCUAACGAAAUAGUAAUAAAAUGCCUUUUUAAUUGUAAGUUAGGUAAAAUUAUUGCUAUAAAUAAAGUACUUAGUAUACCUACAGUAGUAGGUACUGUUAUGUGGUUAUAUAUUUAUGAACCUACACAAUAUUCAUGGUGUGACAUGAGGAAAAACUUUCAAAAUUGUACUUAUAUUUGAAGCCAAAUGUAGCGUAUUCUGCGCAAAAUUGCAUUGUAUUGAAGGUCAUAGUGAUAAGUUUAUUUAUUAUUUACGUUAUACUCGUGCGAAUGCUCUAAGGACAGCCGUCCGCUUAUUCCUACGCUCCGCAAUCUGCAUGCGCGAUACGCCGGGAGUGGACUCUGACUAAAGCAAAAUUAGCAAAAGUGCAUGGAUAACAUAGGAAAAUUAUCGCAUGAAUCCAUAACGCCAUCUGUGAUCUAUAGUAAAUAUAUGUAGAUGGCAUUUUGCUACUUUAAAAAAUGUUAAUGAGUAAUUUCAUCAGUUAAGGGUGUCACACAUGGCGUAGACACUAUAAUAUUUUAUCUUAACAAACAAUAUCGCUCGCUAUAGAUUUUGUGUGAACUAUCACACAUGGUUAUAAUAGUAUAUAUUUUCAUAAUAUUAUAGUAUCUUCGCCGUGUGUGACGCCCUUUACAGUUGUUUUAAAGACCAACUGUACAAACAUUAGUUAUUAACAAUUUUAUAGCAAGGUUCAAACUCAACACUCCUAAAAAAGCUUGUUUUCAAAAGCCACUCGACCAUCAUAAUCAAACAUUAUUAUUUUUCGAAACAGAUCACUAAAGAUUGUUUUCAACUAGUAUUAUAAUAGUAAGCAUUGUGUAGAUAUUUUAUGAUUUAGAAGUGAAAUAAUUGGAUGCAGUUAACCAAUUUUACUGCUUGGAUUGAAAUGGUAGUUCGGAAAAAAACAAUUAGAUUUUAGCCGGGCGUUACCUAAGUCGCAUGUAGUGAAUAAAAUCAAUGUCAUCUAGCUUAAUUUAGAUCUGUUUUCAUAGGACUAUAGAACUUCGAUAUCCAUGCAAUUCUGCAGCUGAUCGUACCAAAAAUAAUACAUUAAUUAUUUUUGUUCUUUAUUUGAUUAUUAUACUUAUUUAGACGUGUGAAUAUUGUUGCCUUAUGUAUCGAAUAGUGGAAUAUUGUUCUUCAGUAUGGUUUUAGCACAUUCAGUGGUCCAACGUAUUUGGUAUAACGGUUAAGUCGUAAUUAUAUAAUGGCUUUUAAAUGAAUAACUGUUAAAGGGAAGCAGAUUGUAAAAAAUGUAUUAUUUUUAUGAUACCAAAGGAGUAAGGAGCAAAUUUUUUUUAACGGCGUACAUAUUGUUAUAUUAUACCGUUUUAUAUGUUAAAAAUACUUCAAAUCAAUAUACAUAGUUAGUAUAGAUCUGUUAAUGUACUUGAAUGUGAUUGUAAGUUUAGUUAUGAUUUAUUUUAUCUAUAGAUCUCCCUUGAUUAAUUAUACACUAUUUUGAGUUACAGAA
Molecule: long non-coding RNA, 6441 nt
Organism: Bombyx mori (domestic silkworm)
Lineage: Eukaryota; Metazoa; Arthropoda; Insecta; Lepidoptera; Bombycidae
Exons: 2
Source: RefSeq, a predicted model, not a curated record